This 653-nucleotide long non-coding RNA is filed under the name Anas platyrhynchos platyrhynchos (common mallard). RNAcentral describes it as "lncRNA (ENSAPLG00000017358.1)". The record is from RNAcentral. Lineage: Eukaryota; Metazoa; Chordata; Aves; Anseriformes; Anatidae.
AGCUGUUGCAUUUCUUAGUCUUAAGAUGUUCACUCUGACACUGGAAUUUGAGAAAUGUCUGUUCAUUAAUAGCUUCAAGUUUACAGCAGCCCCUGAAUGCAGCCUUCCAUUCUGAACCCAACAAUUCAAUGGGAUGAACAAGCAACUAAAUCUACAUUAUGGUGGUGGUGUCAGUGAUGGAACAGGCUCCUGCAAAGUCUGACGAAUAUCUUUCCUUGCAGAUAUUCAAAGUGCUACUGGAUGUGACCAGGAGUAACCUGAUUUAACUUUGGCAUUAGCCUUGGUUUGAGUGAGAGAAUGGAGCAGAUCCGAUGACCCCCAGAAGUCCAUCCCCACUUGAAUUUUGCUAUGAUUCUGUAUGGAGACCUCAUUCUCUUGGAGGAAUCUUUAGAAACAAACAAUCCAGGCAGAGGAACAAAUACAAACCCCUGCAACCUCAGAUGGGGGGUAACUUCUUUUUAUUAAGGUAGUCUUCACUUCUGUCUUCAGUGGAAAAUUUAGGGCAAGAUAUACAUACCUUCUGUUUAAGUUUAUACCAAAAUGUAGGCUUUAAGUGCUUAUGGGUUUUAUUUUUUAACAAAAGUCUCUUUGUUCUUUGAGAAGCUCCACUCAGUAUCAUAAUAAUAAAAAUCAUGUUUAAUUGUUUGUUUGCA